This 440-nucleotide ribosomal RNA is filed under the name uncultured bacterium. RNAcentral's name for it is "partial 16S ribosomal RNA". It matches the Rfam family "Bacterial small subunit ribosomal RNA", at positions 338 to 795 of the family's 1533-position model. The record is from RNAcentral.
CCUACGGGAGGCAGCAGUGGGGAAUAUUGCACAAUGGGGGGAACCCUGAUGCAGCGACGCCGCGUGAAGGAAGAAGUAUCUCGGUAUGUAAACUUCUAUCAGCAGGGAAGAAAAUGACGGUACCUGACUAAGAAGCUCCGGCUAAAUACGUGCCAGCAGCCGCGGUAAUACGUAUGGGGCAAGCGUUAUCCGGAUUUACUGGGUGUAAAGGGAGCGUAGGCGGCAUGGUAAGUCAGAAGUGAAAGCCCGGGGCUCAACUCCGGGACUGCUUUGGAAACUGUAGAGCUUGAUUGCAGGAGAGGUAAGUGGAAUUCCUAGUGUAGCGGUGAAAUGCGUAGAGAUUAGGAGGAACACCAGUGGCGAAGGCGGCUUACUGGACUGUAAAUGACGCUGAGGCUCGAAAGCAUGGGGAGCGAACAGGAUUAGAUACCCUGGUAGUC